GACGAACGCUGGCGGCGUGCUUAACACAUGCAAGUCGAACGGAAAGGCCCUGCUUGUGUGGGGUGCUCGAGUGGCGAACGGGUGAGUAACACGUGAGUAACCUGCCCUUGACUUUGGGAUAACUUCAGGAAACGGGGGCUAAUACAGGAUAGGAGAUCCUGCUGCGUGGUGGGGGGUGGAAAGUUUCGGCGGUUGGGGAUGGAUGCGCGGCUGAUGAGCUUGUUGGUGGGGGAGUGGCUUACCAAGGCUGUGACGGGUAGCCGGCCUGGGAGGGUGACCGGCCACAUUGGGACUGAGAUACGGCGCAGACUCCUACGGGAGGCAGCAGUGGGGAAUAUUGCACAAUGGGCGGAAGCCCGAUGCAGCAACGCCGCGUGCGGGAUGACGGCCUUCGGGUUGUAAACCGCUUUCGCCUGUGACGAAGCGUGAGUGACGGUAAUGGGUAAAGAAGCACCGGCUAACUACGUG
Molecule: ribosomal RNA, 468 nt
Filed under: uncultured bacterium
Lineage: Bacteria
Description: partial 16S ribosomal RNA
Rfam family: Bacterial small subunit ribosomal RNA
Source: RNAcentral